RNAcentral lists this unclassified non-coding RNA (348 nucleotides) under soil metagenome. Its description in RNAcentral is "partial contains 5.8S ribosomal RNA, internal transcribed spacer 2, and large subunit ribosomal RNA". The stretch from base 1 to 120 matches the Rfam family "5.8S ribosomal RNA", at positions 35 to 154 of the family's 154-position model. The record is from RNAcentral.
GAUGAAGAACGUAGCAAAAUGCGAUAAGUAAUGUGAAUUGCAGAAUUCAGUGAAUCAUCGAAUCUUUGAACGCACAUUGCGCCCGCUGGUAUUCCGGCGGGCAUGCCUGUUCGAGCGUCAUUUCAACCCUCAAGCCCCCGGGUUUGGUGUUGGGGAUCGGCUCUGCCCUUCUGGGCGGUGCCGCCCCCGAAAUACAUUGGCGGUCUCGCUGCAGCCUCCAUUGCGUAGUAGCUAACACCUCGCAACUGGAACGCGGCGCGGCCAUGCCGUAAAACCCCAACUUCUGAAUGUUGACCUCGGAUCAGGUAGGAAUACACGCUGAACUUAAGCAUAUCAAUAAGCGGAGGA